UUCUUGACUGAUCUGGAUCUUUUCUUCAAAUCUCUAAAAUCUUUUUAGAGGUUGAAUAUGGACUUCUAGAGGAGAUAAAUAGGUGAAAGAAAGAUGGAGAAGAAAAUAAUUUCUCUCUAAUUUAUUCUCUCUUUUCAAACCCUUAAGACCAAAAACCUAGAAUUCAGAUUUUUGCGCACACCCAAAGAAAAAGGACUCUCCUUCUCUUUUCACACCAUGAACUCAUGCCCAAG
Molecule: long non-coding RNA, 233 nt
Filed under: Elaeis guineensis (African oil palm)
Lineage: Eukaryota; Viridiplantae; Streptophyta; Magnoliopsida; Arecales; Arecaceae
Description: long non-coding RNA (EGUI_LNC073346)
Source: RNAcentral